GGAGAGGUGUCCGAGUGGCUUAAGGAGCGUGCUUGGAAAGCACGUAUACCGGAAACGGUAUCGGGGGUUCGAAUCCCUUCCUCUCCG
RNAcentral lists this transfer RNA (87 nucleotides) under Bacteroidia bacterium. Its description in RNAcentral is "tRNA-Ser". It matches the Rfam family "tRNA". Rfam says of the family: Transfer RNA (tRNA) molecules are approximately 80 nucleotides in length. Their secondary structure includes four short double-helical elements and three loops (D, anti-codon, and T loops). The record is from RNAcentral. Lineage: Bacteria; Pseudomonadati; Bacteroidota; Bacteroidia.